UACAGAGGUCUCAAGCGUUGUUCGGAUUCAUUGGGCGUAAAGGGCGCGUAGGCGGCGGGGUAAGUCGGGUGUGAAAUCUCAGAGCUCAACUCUGAAACUGCACUCGAUACUGCUCUGCUUGAGGACUGGAGAGGAGACUGGAAUUCACGGUGUAGCAGUGAAAUGCGUAGAUAUCGUGAGGAAGACCAGUGGCGAAGGCGGGUCUCUGGACAGUUCCUGACACUGAGACACGAAGGCCAGGGGAGCAAACGGG
Molecule: ribosomal RNA, 253 nt
Filed under: uncultured bacterium
Lineage: Bacteria
Description: partial 16S ribosomal RNA
Rfam family: Bacterial small subunit ribosomal RNA
Source: RNAcentral